CCCGAAUUAGUUUGAGCUAAACUACCCGCCCGCGUGGUGGGUCCAAUCUACGUAGUAUUGUAGGUCCUACAGGGUAGUUUAGGAGUGAUAGGCCUUCCAAAAACUAAGAUAGCUGGAUUUCCGCUAAAAGUAUUUAGUACAAAGACAACCAUAGAGUGUUUAGGCUUUAUGGGGGAGGGGAGCGUAAUUUGGUAGACGAAUGGUUUAAACACCUUUGCAUUAUGUACACUAUCACUUAUAUUGCAGUAGUUCCCUCAUACUAGCAGAAGCUUAGGAAACAAUGUUCCGUAUUCAUAAUGUUAACAUUAGUAGAAUUAUAAGGCUUGCUUAAAGAACUCGGCAAACGAUACUCUCAACUGUUUACCAAAAACAUAACUAUAAGGGCUUGUUUAUAGUGCUUUCUGCACAAUGUUAUUAUAAAUUGCCGCAGUACCCUGACUGUGCUAAGGUAGCAUAAUCAUUUGGCUUAUAAUUGAAGUCUAGUAUGAACGAAGUUAUGGGGGUAGGCUGUUUCAAACAAGUAGUUCUAAUUUGCCUGGGGGGUGAAAAUGCCCUCGCAUAGAUAAAAGACGAGAAGACCCUUGAAAUUUUGAGCACACUAGUUCAGGUUUGUAUUUUUGUUGGGGCGACAAAGUAGCAUACAACCUACUGAUUUGCAUGGGCAACGUUUAGGUGGAAAAAUUAAAUUACUCUAGGGAUAACAGCAUAAUAUUUUGAAGUUUGUGACCUCGAUGUUGGACUAGGAAAAUAUAGUUUAGAA
Molecule: ribosomal RNA, 760 nt
Filed under: Bradybaena similaris
Lineage: Eukaryota; Metazoa; Mollusca; Gastropoda; Stylommatophora; Camaenidae
Description: partial 16S ribosomal RNA
Rfam family: Archaeal large subunit ribosomal RNA
Source: RNAcentral